RNAcentral lists this ribosomal RNA (438 nucleotides) under uncultured bacterium. RNAcentral's name for it is "bacterial SSU rRNA". It matches the Rfam family "Bacterial small subunit ribosomal RNA", at positions 954 to 1392 of the family's 1533-position model. The record is from RNAcentral.
GCUAAACGCGAAGAACCUUACCAAGGCUUGACAUACACCAGAACACCCUGGAAACAGGGGACUCUUUGGACACUGGUGAACAGGUGGUGCAUGGUUGUCGUCAGCUCGUGUCGUGAGAUGUUGGGUUAAGUCCCGCAACGAGCGCAACCCUCGUUCUAUGUUGCCAGCACGUAUGGUGGGAACUCAUGGGAUACUGCCGGGGUCAACUCGGAGGAAGGUGGGGAUGACGUCAAAUCAUCAUGCCCCUUAUGUCUUGGGCUUCACGCAUGCUACAAUGGCCGGUACAAAGGGCUGCAAUACCGUGAGGUGGAGCGAAUCCCAAAAAGCCGGUCCCAGUUCGGAUUGAGGUCUGCAACUCGACCUCAUGAAGUCGGAGUCGCUAGUAAUCGCAGAUCAGCAACGCUGCGGUGAAUACGUUCCCGGGUCUUGUACACACCG